Molecule: ribosomal RNA, 441 nt
Filed under: uncultured bacterium
Lineage: Bacteria
Description: partial 16S ribosomal RNA
Rfam family: Bacterial small subunit ribosomal RNA
Source: RNAcentral
CCUACGGGUGGCAGCAGUGGGGGAUAUUGCACAAUGGGGGCAACUCUGAUGCAGCGACGCCGCGUGAGUGAAGAAGUAUUUCGGGAUGUAAAGCUCUAUUAGCAGGGAAGAAAAAAGACGGUAGCUGACUAAGAAGCCCCGGCUAAAUACGUGCUAGCAGCCGCGGUAAUACGUAGGGGGCAAGCGUUAUCCGGAUUUACUGGGUGUAAAGGGAGCGUAGACGGCAAUACAAGUCGGAAGUGAAAUACCCGGGCUCAACCUGGGAACUGCUUUGGAAACUGUAUGGCUAGAGUGCUGGAGAGGUAAGCGGAAUUCCUAGUGUAGCGGUGAAAUGCGUAGAUAUUAGGAGGAACACCAGUGGCGAAGGCGGCUUACUGGACAGUAACUGACGUUGAGGCUCGAAAGCGUGGGGAGCAAACAGGAUUAGAUACCCCAGUAGUC